CCUACGGGGGGCAGCAGUGAGGAAUAUUGGUCAAUGGCCGUAAGGCUGAACCAGCCAAGUAGCGUGAGGGAAGACUGCCCUAUGGGUUGUAAACCUCUUUUAUGCGGGGAUAAAGGUGUCCACGUGUGGAUGUUUGCAGGUACCGCAUGAAUAAGGAACGGCUAAGUCCGUGCCAGCAGCCGCGGUAAUACGGAAGGUCCGGGCGUUAUCCGGAUUUAUGGGGUUUAAAGGGAGCGUAGGCCGGUCUUUGAGCGUGCCGGGAAAUUUUGUGGCUCAACCAUGGGAGUGCGGCGCGAACUGGAGACCUUGAGUGCGCGGAAGGCAGGCGGAAUUCGUGGUGUAGCGGUGAAAUGCUUAGAUAUCACGAAGAACCCCGAUUGCGAAGGCAGCCUGCCGCAGCGUUACUGACGCUGAAGCUCGAAAGCGCGGGUAUCGAACAGGAUUAGAUACCCUAGUAGUC
Molecule: ribosomal RNA, 460 nt
Filed under: uncultured bacterium
Lineage: Bacteria
Description: partial 16S ribosomal RNA
Rfam family: Bacterial small subunit ribosomal RNA
Source: RNAcentral